This is a long non-coding RNA of Leucoraja erinaceus (little skate), 1651 nucleotides long. RefSeq lists it as uncharacterized. The record is from RefSeq and is a predicted model, not a curated record. Lineage: Eukaryota; Metazoa; Chordata; Chondrichthyes; Rajiformes; Rajidae. The transcript is spliced from 3 exons.
CCAUAGAAUCCACCAUGACCUUAGGUUAUUCCAAAGAGCUUUACUGUCGGGAAGCUUUAAAAUGUCAACAGUUUAGUUUAGUUUAGAGAUACAGCGCAGAAACAGGCCCUUUGGCCCACCGGGUCUGCGCCGACCAGCGAUCCCCGCAUAUUAACACUAUUAUUAACACACACUAGGGACAAUUUAUACAUUAACCAAUGCAAUUAACCUACAAAUCUGUAUGUCUUUGGAGUGUGGGAGGAUACCGAAGAUCUCUGAGAAAACCCACGCAGGUCACGGGGAGAACGUAAAACUCCGUACAGACAGCAUUUGUAGUCGGGAUCGAAACCGGGUCUCCAGUGCUGCAACUCUACCGCUGCGCCACCAUGGUCGCCCUUUAGUUCUAUAAUAUCGACAGUGCAGCAUCUAAUUUACACACCAUCAACUCCCACACACAACCAUAAAUUAUAAUGUACUGGAUAUCUCCUUUAGCAUGUGGAGGAAUAAUAUGUGUCAGGACACCAAGGAGAACUUCAAUGCCAUGACAUCUAAUUGUUCCAAUGGUUUUUUUAUUGUCAUGUGUACCAGGUACAAUGAAGUACAAUUUUUGCAUGCAGCUCAGCAAAAUUAUCCCCGUACAUAAGCACAAUCGCCCCAGUCAGUGCAGCAUGCACAGAACAGCCCACUGAGUCCACAUGCAAGAGGCGCUAUUUUGGUGCCAUUUUACAGUCCCAGCUGCAGCUGGCCACAAAAGCCCCUUGCAGCGGAUGCCUCCAUGUCCCGCAAUCCGAUGCCCCUCUCCACGCCCGGGUCCCACUCAACGCCCUCAUUCCAUGGGGGGACGACUCCUUCAGCUGACCUCGAUGGCACGAAGCAGUUUAUUUUCGUCAGGGAGAGAAAUGUACAUAAAUAAAGGACACAAAAUGCUGGAGUAACUCAGCAGCUCAGGCAUCAUCUCUGGAGAAACUGGCGAGGUGAUGUUUCGGGUCAACACUCUCCUUCAGACCGAUCGUAGGGGGGAGGGGGGAGAAAAACGCUGGAAGAGGAGAGAGGCAGGACGCAGCCUGACAGCUACUUAAUCAGAAUAAGGAUGAAAAAUGACAGAAACCACAUCAAGCUUGCAACAGGAAUGGGGUGGGAGAUUGCAACCUUCACGUGGUCCACCCUGUUUCAACGAAUGCAAACAACCUGGCGUGCACAAAUAGAAGAUCAAACUGAACAAGUUGUCUUACAACUUUAGGCUGUGCAUGCCAUUCGCAAGAAGAAGAAGCAGCAGGAAUGUUAAAUGUUAUAAUGAUAUUGCAUUUUUUGAAGAAAAAAACAAAGAAAGAAAUGCCACAUGGAAUAUAAAAUGACCUGAAACAAUGGAAGCUGCGUCAUGAAUUCAAUUUCUUUUCCACUUUAGGAAGCAGUGGCGUAGAAAUGUAUCUACUCUACAUUAUUUUAGUUUUGUGGUACAGCGUGGAAAUUGGCUCUUCAGCCCACUGAGCCCGCGCUGACCAAUGAUCACCAAUACACUGGUUUUAUCCUACACACUGGGGACAAUUUUCACAGAUAGCAAUUAACCUACAAACCUGCACGUCAUUGGAAUGUGGGAGGAAACUGGAGCCCCCGGAGAAAACCCAUUAGUAGACCUAAAAUACCAAUAAGCAGAGGGAUGGAGUAUUCUCAA